This 22-nucleotide microRNA is filed under the name Corchorus olitorius. Its description in RNAcentral is "mmu-miR-877-". Lineage: Eukaryota; Viridiplantae; Streptophyta; Magnoliopsida; Malvales; Malvaceae. The record is from RNAcentral.
UUUCCUCUUCUCCAUCCUCCCA